AUUGAACGCUGGCGGCAUGCCUUACACAUGCAAGUCGAACGGCAGCGGGGACUUCGGUCCGCCGGCGAGUGGCGAACGGGUGAGUAAAGUAUCGGAACGUACCUUUCAGUGGGGGAUAACUGUCCGAAAGGACAGCUAAUACCGCAUAUUCUGUGAGCAGGAAAGCAGGGGAUCGCAAGACCUUGCGCUGAUUGAGCGGCCGAUAUCAGAUUAGCUAGUUGGUGAGGUAAAGGCUCACCAAGGCGACGAUCUGUAGCGGGUCUGAGAGGAUGAUCCGCCACACUGGAACUGAGACACGGUCCAGACUCCUACGGGAGGCAGCAGUGGGGAAUUUUGGACAAUGGGGGCAACCCUGAUCCAGCCAUGCCGCGUGAGUGAAGAAGGCCUCGGUUGUAAGACUCUUUCGUCCGGAGGAAAGUACGCAUCAGCUAAUACCUA
RNAcentral lists this ribosomal RNA (438 nucleotides) under uncultured bacterium. RNAcentral's name for it is "bacterial SSU rRNA". It matches the Rfam family "Bacterial small subunit ribosomal RNA", at positions 30 to 470 of the family's 1533-position model. The record is from RNAcentral.